This 251-nucleotide ribosomal RNA is filed under the name uncultured prokaryote. RNAcentral's name for it is "partial 16S rRNA". It matches the Rfam family "Bacterial small subunit ribosomal RNA", at positions 525 to 775 of the family's 1533-position model. The record is from RNAcentral.
ACGGAGGGUGCAAGCGUUAUUCGGAUUUAUUGGGCGUAAAGGGCGCGUAGGCGGCUUUUUAAGUCAGAUGUGAAAUCCCGGGGCUUAACCUCGGAAGUGCAUUUGAAACUGGGAAGCUUGAGUAUGGGAGAGGGAAACGGAAUUCCUGGUGUAGCGGUGCAAUGCGUAGAUAUCAGGAGGAACACCGGUGGUGAUAGCGGUUUCCCGGACCAUUCCUUUCUCUGAGGCGCGUAGUUCCGGGGAUCAAACAG